GUUUCCGGUUUCCGGCUCAGCGUCCAAUCGCCAGCCCGCCCCAGGCUUUCCGCUUCCGGCAGCACAGGCCUGUGGGACUUGAACCUGUUGUGAAGCCGGUUAGUCCUGGGCCGGCGGGUUCCCUCAAGGUGGCUAUGAUUGUGUCUCUAGUCCCCGCCUGUCCUGCAGUCUGUCUGCAGGUCCGCAGCAGAAACGCGCAGCUUGAGUCAGUCGCGGAGCACCCACUUCCAGUGUCUCGGAUCGCAGAGUGGGAUACAAGACGCCGCCACCUUUCUUUCCGUGGGAACCUUGGGAAGUUAGCAGAGGGCCUUCAGGAGUUGGCUCUCUCUUCUGACUCCGGCCUCAGAAGUACUGCUGACCUUUUGCCAGGAAAAGUAUUUUCUUUUUCAGUGGGAAACUUGUAUCUAUCCACAUUGUGGAAGACACAGGGAAGAAUCAGAAGAAAAUGAAACGUGUUAGUCUUGCAGCCCCGUUUGUCUCCCUUGCUAGGCUGUCAGCUAGUUCUCAUUCUUGGUAGCGCAGGUUCUGGCACGAAAUAGAUAAUACCUGGUGAAUGAAUGAAUGUUAACAUUUUGGUGUGCGUUUCUCCCUAGGCUUUUUUUUUUCCCCGCAAAUAUAUACAUAUCACAUGCAUAUUUCCACAUAAUUGAGCUGCCCCUACAUGGCCUGGGAAAAUCAGUAACUGCACUUAAAUCCUUGCUGCUGCUGUCGCUGGAGCACGCUUUAGUUGCCUAUGUGAGAAGCAGCUGAAUUGCAAAUCAAUAGCAUGUCAGGUCUGCCCUUCUGACUUUCAGGGCUCUCACUUGAAAUCACAGUUUCAUCUGUCAACUGGCACCUCCAAUUAGCACUCGGUCAGAUAAUCCAGUAGGAGUCAGAGCUCCUGGGGACUGGAAAGGCUUGGCUCUGACCGAUGGCUUUUAGCUGUCCUCCAUUUCUUCUGCCCAUCUCUGAGGUAUCUGCUUCCAACCUUAAUUUUUAGAGUUUUAGGAUGUUUAAGACAGAUGAUCUCUAACAUACCCUUGAAAUUCUGUAAGAUGCUGCUGAGCCAACUGAAUAAGAUAAUAGAAGCCAACUGAAGUGUAACUUUUGUUGUUUUGCAGUCAGAUUAUCACAGGAGCUGUUCUUGGUCGGUUACCUUUUGCAGAAGGAAUGGCACAGACUCUUUUUCUCUCCUCCCCACUCCAACCCAGUUCCAGAGGGUCUGGAUCCAGCAGGUAUUCAGUGACCACGACUACCUUGAUCGCGGCUGACCCAAGGCCAUGCCUGUAUAGUACUCAAUGACGUCGGGUCUGGGCCAGACAGAGUGAGAGGUCAGGAAAUGGUCCCUGGAUUGUCCCUCAGGCACCCCCACAUCAAUAGAGGAGUCUCUGUCAGAAACUCGGCCCAAACCUGGCUGAGGAGGCAUAUCAAGGGCACUUCUGUGUGGGAAGCACGUGGGCAUCCGUCUGGCUCAUUCCCAAGUCCACAGAUGAAAUCAGAGGCCUGGAGAAGAGUAGUCACCUGAGAACUGAAGCUCAGGCCUGGAGGGGUUAGGUUGAAAGCAUCUCGCAGGCGGUGCCCUGCACGUCGGGCCCAGAGGGCUGGGCACAUGGGAAGGGCACCUGGCCUUCACGCCGCGUGCCGCUGUGUCAGUGCUUUGCCGCCUUGGCGUCGUGCGGCCGAUGGUGAGUGAGCGCGCAUGGCCGAGGCCGGGGUGGCGGGCAGGCCUGGGGAUGCAGAGGUCCGUCCACGUGCAAGUGGCUGGAAGCCAAGACCGCAAGCAAGUGUGCGGAGACAGUCUCCGAGCCGUGGACCCAGACUAAGGCAGCACGCCAGUGCGGUGUUGGGGUCCAGUUGGGCAGCGGUUGCGAAGUUCGCGUUUCGGAACGGCGUUUGCAGCCUUUUCUUGGUGUGAAAGUGGCCGCUGCGACUGGGAAAUGCAGAUGAGGCCCGGGCCAGUGCAGUCGGCGGCGCGCUUUCCAGCGUCGAGGCCGCGUCUUGCUUUCGGCCAGAGCGUGGGGUCUUCCCAGCAGAUCCGCCUGGGUGGAUUAGGACCGCUUCUUGUUUGGGGGGCUUGACGGCCUGGAGCCAGUGCAGCAGGGGCGGUGUUGCCCUCGACUGCCUCUGGGAUACACCUUACCAUUUCUCAGUAUUUCCCUCGGGGAAAUGACCGAGUUGCCCUUCGGAGAGGUUGGGCCGGACCACGGCCUUCUGGACUCUUUCCCAACACUUCCUUUUUAGAAAUCUGUGCUACUUGAGAAGUUGGAAAAGUGGUAUCUCUUGGUUCCUUUUCUUUGUUGACAGGUGGAGUCUGUAACUUUCUAUCAACAAGACUAAUUGAGCUUUUGCUCUGAGCCAGAAAUUCAGCUGAAGCACCUUCCAUGCCCUGGGGGAGUUCACUGUCACCACGUGAAAAUACCAAGGGUUACAGUGUCUGUAACAACCUGAUUAGGGUGUCAGCCCUGAGAAUACAAAGGAUGAAAUGAUUGCCUCUGUGGGAGGAAGGUCUGUGUGAACUGGAGAAAGUCUGACCUCCCUGCCUGGGAAAAGGCAAUGCUGGAAUUUGCACUUGCUAUUUCCCGAGCUGAUGACAUAACAGAUGACCAUUUCAAAAAGCUCGAGGUGCACGGAUUCAACCAAGAAGAUGCCUGGGAUAUAGCUGCAAUUUCAGCUUUUUAUGCCAUGUCCAACUGCCUUGCUCAUUUUGUCAGUCUUGUUCCCAACAAAGAAUUCUAUUUGAUGGGCAGAACCAAUGAUGUCAAAGACAUCAGGAGUGAACCUGCUGCUCCCAAAGUAUAAAAGUCUGAACAGAAAGGCCAGUGUUUACAUUUCCAGCACAUUGCAUUAUAAGACACCAGUUGGGAAGUAAUUUUUUUAAAUGUUUAGUCAAUGGAUAGGGAAGAAAGUAAAUAAAUUUGUUCCCUGCCUGCUUGAUGAGAUAGAUCCUAAGGGACAUGUGAUAUCUGGGCCUCGGGGAAACCUUUUACUUUUUUACUUUUGUUGUGAUGUGAAAGGAGCAUCAGGGACAAAGGAGUUCAGAGGAUGCUUUAGGCAUUUCUGAUGAACUGAUAUCUGUGAAUUUCAGCAAUUGAAGUUGAACAUAUUUUAGCUUUUAAAAAUAGUGUUACAUGGAAA
Orcinus orca (killer whale) is the source of this 3114-nucleotide long non-coding RNA. RefSeq lists it as uncharacterized. The transcript has 2 exons. Lineage: Eukaryota; Metazoa; Chordata; Mammalia; Artiodactyla; Delphinidae. The record is from RefSeq and is a predicted model, not a curated record.